GGAUCUAUAAGCUCAAAAUGGAAAGAGCGCUCAUUUGAGAGGCUGAUGGUUCGAAUCCAUCUCGAUCCA
RNAcentral lists this transfer RNA (69 nucleotides) under Thalictrum thalictroides. Its description in RNAcentral is "tRNA-OTHER". It matches the Rfam family "tRNA". From Rfam's summary of the family: Transfer RNA (tRNA) molecules are approximately 80 nucleotides in length. Their secondary structure includes four short double-helical elements and three loops (D, anti-codon, and T loops). The record is from RNAcentral. Lineage: Eukaryota; Viridiplantae; Streptophyta; Magnoliopsida; Ranunculales; Ranunculaceae.